RNAcentral lists this ribosomal RNA (340 nucleotides) under Anophryoides haemophila. RNAcentral describes it as "partial Bacterial large subunit ribosomal RNA". It matches the Rfam family "Bacterial large subunit ribosomal RNA", at positions 105 to 498 of the family's 2925-position model. Lineage: Eukaryota; Ciliophora; Oligohymenophorea; Philasterida; Glauconematidae. The record is from RNAcentral.
CCGCAAUGUCCGAAUGGGGAAACCCACUGCUUCGGCAGUAUCCUGCAGUGAAUACAUAGCUGCUGGAGGCAAACCCGGUGAACUGAAAUAUCUAAGUAACCGGAGGAAAAGAAAUCAACCGAGAUUCCCUGAGUAGUGACGAGCGAACGGGGACCAGCCCUUAAGCUGGAUUGGUUUUAGAAGAACAGUCUGGAAAGACUGGCCAUAGACGGUGACAGCCCGGUAUUCGAAAAGACCUUUUCAGUGAAGACGAGUAAGGCGGGGCACGAGAAACCCUGUCUGAACAUGGGGGGACCAUCCUCCAAGGCUAAAUACUCCUGACCGACCGAUAGUGAACCAG